This is an RNA transcript of Zonotrichia leucophrys gambelii, 1799 nucleotides long. It is a transcript of the gene named diphthamide biosynthesis 1, with no coding region annotated. The record is from RefSeq and is a predicted model, not a curated record. The transcript has 10 exons. NCBI's taxonomy places the organism in Eukaryota, Metazoa, Chordata, Aves, Passeriformes, Passerellidae.
CCCCCACGUGCGCACAGCCAUGGCGGCCCCCGUGCGGGCCGGGAGCGCGGCCCCGGUGCCCGCCAAAGCCCGAGCCCGGUAUGUGGCCCAGCAGAUCCCCGAGGAGAUCCUGGGCAACGCGGAGCUGCGGGAGGCGGCUCUGGCCCUGCCCCCCAACUACAACUUCGAGAUCCCCAAGACCGUGUGGCGCAUCCGGCAGGCUGGUGCCAGGAAGGUGGCCCUGCAGAUGCCAGAAGGGCUCCUCAUGUUCGCCUGCACCAUCGCUGACAUCAUUGAGCGGUUCACGGAUGCAGAGGCAGUGGUGAUGGGAGAUGUGACCUACGGCGCCUGCUGCGUGGAUGACUACACGGCCCGGGCCCUGGGCGCUGAUUUCCUGGUGCACUAUGGACACAGCUGCCUCAUUCCCAUCGACUCCACCCAGGGGCUGAAGAUGCUCUAUGUGUUUGUGGACAUAAAGAUCGAUGCAUCCCAUUUCCUUGAGACCAUUCGCUUCAACUUUGCAGCAGGCACCUCCCUGGCCCUGGUCAGCACCAUCCAGUUUGUCUCCACGUUGCAGGCAGUGUCACAGGAGCUGCGUUCCCAGUACAAGGUGUGUGUGCCCCAGUGUAAGCCACUGUCCCCAGGAGAGAUCCUGGGCUGCACGUCACCCCGGCUCGCUCAGGACACGGAUGCCAUUGUGUAUUUGGGCGACGGGCGCUUCCACCUGGAGUCCAUCAUGAUCGCCAACCCAGGGAUACCUGCAUACAGGUACGAUCCCUACAGCAAAGUGUUCUCGCAGGAGCACUACAGCCACGAGCGCAUGCACCGCGCCCGGCAGGACGCCAUCCUCACUGCCAGCUCUGCCCGCUGCUGGGGGCUCAUCCUGGGCACGCUGGGACGUCAGGGCUCCCCCAGCAUCCUGCAGGUACCAGCCCCACUGCCCAAUGUCCCCACCAGGCACCAGGAGCUGCUGUUGGGUGUGGGGAAGGGCUGGACCAUCGCUGCCAGGGUGGAUGUGGCACCGCAGGCAACCCAUCCGUGGCCACUGGCCCCGGCCUGCAUGGGCAAUUAGCAGCAGAUGAGGGAGGCUGGACAAGGGCUCAUUAAACCCAUUCCUGGGGAGAGCUGGCCAGUCUUGGAGAACCCCCCCUCGCCCAGACAGCUCGGCAAUUAAUUGGCUGGGUUUGUUUUAAUUGGAUGAACUUCCGAUCAGGUUCAGCCUCCCUGCUCAGCUGCCGGGCUGGCGCUUUCUGCACCCGGCUGGGAGAGGGGAGCAGGACAGCAGAGUUCUGCCCUCUGAGCAUGGUGGCCCUGCUCACACCCAGAAAUGCUGGGGUGCCACAGGUGAGAUUUGAGGCAGGGCAGCAAGGUCCCAGCUGCUCUUGCACUGCAGGCAUGGCCAGGGCUGGCUGGGCAGGGGGUGAUUAGUGCCACCUCGGGAGGACAAGGACAUCUCUGGCCCCUCUCCUCCUCCUCCUGCAAGCCCUGGCUGCAGCCAGCCCGUGACAGGCGGGUGUCCCAGGGCAGGCAGCCGCUAACGAGAACAGAUUGUUGUCAUUGAGCAGUAAUUACUUCAUUAGGCUGAGGCACGUGCUGGGGAGAGCUGGGCACAAGCCGGAGCCAUGGCCGCAGUCUGGCCUGUGACUGCCAAAGGGACACGUGGGGCAGAGCUGGGACCCACAGAGGCACCUGGAGUCACGUCUCCGUGCCUUGGGCCGGCCCUAUGUGAGGGUGCUGCUGUCUGAGAUCUUCCCCAGCAAGUUAAAGCUCUUCCCAGAGGUGGAUGUGUGGGUGCAGGUAGCCUGUCCCCGGCUCUCCAU